RNAcentral lists this long non-coding RNA (1155 nucleotides) under Malus domestica (apple). RNAcentral's name for it is "long non-coding RNA (MDOM_LNC019704)". The record is from RNAcentral. Lineage: Eukaryota; Viridiplantae; Streptophyta; Magnoliopsida; Rosales; Rosaceae.
AAGGUUGACACACAGGGACUUUCCAAUUAUCCAGCAAUGGUACUGUUUCUUUACCCUCUCUUCGAUUUUUGAGAAAGUAGUCAUGUUGGGAGUCUGGCUCUCGAGAUUCGGAGGACGGUGCCUCUUCGAUUUUGGAGCAAGCAAUCUUGUUGGGAGUGUUUUCUCGAAUGUGAGUAAAGGUUGGGCAUGUUUUCUAGUCUACCUUGCCACGAAGCACAGAGGUUGACACACAGGGACUUUCCAAUUAUCCAGCAGUGGUACUGUUCCUUUACCCUUGUGGGUAAUAAUAUGGUAGCUAGACCUUCAAAAUUUAUGUGUCUAAACUUUGUUAGUGCUGUUUCUUUGCUAUUCUUUUACCUUUCUUGGUCAGAGCGAUGUAGUGGGAGCUGCAAGCUUCACGUGCUCAACUUUGGCAGAGAACUUUGGCAAAGUUAUCUGUGGUACCCAUGAGCUAUUGUUGCGUGUGGGAAGUGGGUGAUUGAACAGUAAGAUUCAUGUGCUUUCUACUUCACCAGAAGUCUUCGACAGAAUGCCCAUAAUUUCUGCAAAGCUAAGUGUGCGUGUGACAGGUGCUGACAAGGCUAGAAAAGUAGGUGCCUCUUCGAUUUCUGAGAUCGGCCCUCGUGGUCUCUGAGCAGCCCAGCUUUUGAGAAAGGGAGCGCCUCUUCGAUUGAUUCGGAGAACGAUGCCUCAUCGAUUUUUGAGAAAGCAAUCAUGCUGGGGGUCUAGCUCUCGAAGAUUCGGGGAGCAGUGUCUCUUCGAUUUUUGAGAAAGUAAUCAUGUUAGGAGUCUGGCUCUCGAGAUUCGGAGGGCGUGCCUCUUCGAUUUUGGAGCAAGCAAUCUUGUUGGGAGUGUUUUCUCGAAUGUGAGUAAAGGUUGGGCAUGUUUGCUAGUCUACCUUGCCACGAAGCACAGAGGUUGACACACAGGGACUUUCCAAUUAUCCAGCAAUGGUACUGUUCCUUUACCCUCUCUUCGAUUUUUAAGAAAGUAGUCAUGUUGGGAGUCUGGCUCUCGAGAUUCGGAGGACGGUGCCUCUUCGAUUUUGGAGCAAACAAUCUUAUUGGGAGUGUUUUCUCGAAUGUGAGUAAAGGUUGGGCAUGUUUGCUAGUCUACCUUGCCACGAAGCACAGAGGUUGACACACAGGGACUUUC